Lolium perenne is the source of this 551-nucleotide long non-coding RNA. RefSeq lists it as uncharacterized. The record is from RefSeq and is a predicted model, not a curated record. Lineage: Eukaryota; Viridiplantae; Streptophyta; Magnoliopsida; Poales; Poaceae.
UUUUUUUUUUCUUCCUGAUGUGUGGGCCCCGCAAUCAUCACCAACCUUCAGCCAGAGUUCUUAUCACAUACGCCGAUGAACCAGAACCGAAAACUGCCCAGAAAAAUCUCCGAUUCGGCUCAGAUUUUUGCCCCUGUGCCACGAAAUUCCCCCAUAAAUACCCAUGUAUCCCCUUUGUUUUUCCCCUCCGAAAACCUAAUUUGGUCGCCGCCAGGCUGCCUCGAUUUCGCUCGCCGGAGUUCGACGUCAGCCACGGUGCCAUCGCCGAUUUCAGCCGCCAGACGACUUCCAUGACGACGACAUCCACGACCCACACUGUCGCCGCGUUGGUAACGUAACCAGUCCGAGCUCCGCCAUAGCUUCCAGACGGGAUCAAGAACACCGAUCCCCGCAUUGUCACGGAGGUGCUUCGCCGCACGCACAUCACCCGAGCAGGACGACCACCGGAGCCCCGCCCACGUCGCCUUGCCAAGAACGCCCGCGUGAAUCGCUACUGAUUGUCCGGAGUGCAACGAGUGCGACUACGGUGAUUGUCUGAACAACAACGAAGG